AGUGAACGCUGGCGGUAGGCCUAACACAUGCAAGUCGAACGGCAGCACAGUAAGAGCUUGCUCUUACGGGUGGCGAGUGGCGGACGGGUGAGGAAUACAUCGGAAUCUACUUUUUCGUGGGGGAUAACGUAGGGAAACUUACGCUAAUACCGCAUACGACCUACGGGUGAAAGCAGGGGAUCUUCGGACCUUUCGCGAUUGAAUGAGCCGAUGUCGGAUUAGCUAGUUGGCGGGGUAAAGGCCCACCAAGGCGACGAUCCGUAGCUGGUCUGAGAGGAUGAUCAGCCACACUGGAACUGAGACACGGUCCAGACUCCUCCGGGAGGCAGCAGUGGGGAAUAUUGGACAAUGGGCGCAAGCCUGAUCCAGCCAUACCGCGUGGGUGAAGAAGGCCUUCGGGUUGUAAAGCCCUUUUGUUGGGAAAGAAAAGCAGCAGGUUAAUACCCCGCUGUUCUGACGGUACCCAAAGAAUAAGCACCGGCUAACUUCGUG
Molecule: ribosomal RNA, 492 nt
Filed under: uncultured bacterium
Lineage: Bacteria
Description: partial 16S ribosomal RNA
Rfam family: Bacterial small subunit ribosomal RNA
Source: RNAcentral